GAUGAACGCUAGCUACAGGCUUAACACAUGCAAGUCGAGGGGCAGCAUGGUCUUAGCUUGCUAAGGCCGAUGGCGACCGGCGCACGGGUGAGUAACACGUAUCCAACCUGCCGUCUACUCUUGGACAGCCUUCUGAAAGGAAGAUUAAUACAAGAUGGCAUCAUGAGUCCGCAUGUUCACAUGAUUAAAGGUAUUCCGGUAGACGAUGGGGAUGCGUUCCAUUAGAUAGUAGGCGGGGUAACGGCCCACCUAGUCUUCGAUGGAUAGGGGUUCUGAGAGGAAGGUCCCCCACAUUGGAACUGAGACACGGUCCAAACUCCUACGGGAGGCAGCAGUGAGGAAGAUUGGUCAAUGGGCGAGAGCCUGAACCAGCCAAGUAGCGUGAAGGAUGACUGCCCUAUGGGUUGUAAACUUCUUUUAUAAAGGAAUAAAGUCGGGUAUGGAUACCCGUUUGCAUGUACUUUAUGAAUAAGGAUCGGCUAACUCCGUG
This 490-nucleotide ribosomal RNA is filed under the name uncultured bacterium. RNAcentral's name for it is "partial 16S ribosomal RNA". It matches the Rfam family "Bacterial small subunit ribosomal RNA", at positions 28 to 507 of the family's 1533-position model. The record is from RNAcentral.